GUGGGGAAUAUUGGACAAUGGGCGAAAGCCUGAUCCAGCCAUGCCGCGUGUGUGAAGAAGGUCUUCGGAUUGUAAAGCACUUUAAGUUGGGAGGAAGGGCAUUAACCUAAUACGUUAGUGUUUUGACGUUACCGACAGAAUAAGCACCGGCUAACUUCGUGCCAGCAGCCGCGGUAAUACGAAGGGUGCAAGCGUUAAUCGGAAUUACUGGGCGUAAAGCGCGCGUAGGUGGUUCGUUAAGUUGGAUGUGAAAGCCCCGGGCUCAACCUGGGAACUGCAUCCAAAACUGGCGAGCUGGAGUACGGUAGAGGGUGGUGGAAUUUCCUGUGUAGCGGUGAAAUGCGUAGAUAUAGGAAGGAACACCAGUGGCGAAGGCGACUACCUGGACUGAUACUGACACUGAGGUGCGAAAGCGUGGGGAGCAAACAGGAUUAGAUACCCGGGUAGUCC
RNAcentral lists this ribosomal RNA (450 nucleotides) under uncultured bacterium. RNAcentral describes it as "partial 16S ribosomal RNA". It matches the Rfam family "Bacterial small subunit ribosomal RNA", at positions 354 to 796 of the family's 1533-position model. The record is from RNAcentral.